This 512-nucleotide ribosomal RNA is filed under the name uncultured bacterium. RNAcentral's name for it is "partial 16S ribosomal RNA". It matches the Rfam family "Bacterial small subunit ribosomal RNA", at positions 28 to 507 of the family's 1533-position model. The record is from RNAcentral.
GAUGAACGCUGGCGGCGUGCCUAAUACAUGCAAGUCGAACGAAACUUCUUUAUUACCGAGUGCUUGUACUCAUCGAUAAAGAGCUAAGUGGUGAACGGCUGAUUAAUGCGCUGGCAACCUCUCCAAAAGAGGGGGGUAACACUGGGAAACAUGUGCUAAUACCGCAUAACCAUAGUUACCUCAUGGUAACCGUUUAUAUGGUGGUUAUACUUCAGCUCUUGGCUUGGCACGCGGUGCAUUGGCUAGUUGGUAGGGUAAAGGCUGACCGAGGCAAUGACGGGUAGGCGAAUUGAGAGGUUGAGCGUCCACGUUGGGAAUGGGACACGGCCCCAACUCCUACGGGAGGCGGCAGUAGGGAAUCUGCAUCAAUGGGCGAAAGCAGGAUGGAGAAGCGCCGCGUGGGUGAAGAAGGUCUUCGGAUCGUAAAUCCCUGUUGUUAGAGACGAAAGUGCGUGAGAGUGACUGUUCGCGUUUCGACGGUAUCUAACCAGAAAGCCACGGCUAACUACGUG